GCGGUCAUGGCGGAAUGGUAGACGCGCCAGCUUGAGGUGCUGGUGGGGGCAACCCCGUGGAAGUUCGAAUCUUCUUGACCGCACCA
RNAcentral lists this transfer RNA (86 nucleotides) under Muricoccus pecuniae. RNAcentral's name for it is "tRNA-Leu". It matches the Rfam family "tRNA". Rfam says of the family: Transfer RNA (tRNA) molecules are approximately 80 nucleotides in length. Their secondary structure includes four short double-helical elements and three loops (D, anti-codon, and T loops). Further hydrogen bonds mediate the characteristic L-shaped molecular structure. tRNAs have two regions of fundamental functional importance: the anti-codon, which is responsible for specific mRNA codon recognition, and the 3' end, to which the tRNAs corresponding amino acid is attached (by aminoacyl-tRNA synthetases). tRNAs cope with the degeneracy of the genetic code in two manners: having more than one tRNA (with a specific anti-codon) for a particular amino acid; and 'wobble' base-pairing, i.e. permitting non-standard base-pairing at the 3rd anti-codon position. RNAcentral also lists the same sequence under 3 other names. The record is from RNAcentral. Lineage: Bacteria; Pseudomonadati; Pseudomonadota; Alphaproteobacteria; Acetobacterales; Roseomonadaceae.